This 497-nucleotide ribosomal RNA is filed under the name uncultured bacterium. RNAcentral describes it as "partial 16S ribosomal RNA". It matches the Rfam family "Bacterial small subunit ribosomal RNA", at positions 28 to 507 of the family's 1533-position model. The record is from RNAcentral.
GAUGAACGCUGGCGGCGUGCCUAAUACAUGCAAGUCGAGCGAACGGACGAGAAGCUUGCUUCUCUGAUGUUAGCGGCGGACGGGUGAGUAACACGUGGAUAACCUACCUAUAAGACUGGGAUAACUUCGGGAAACCGUAGCUAAUACCGGAUAAUAUUUUGAACCGCAUGGUUCAAAAGUGAAAGACGGUCUUGCUGUCACUUAUAGAUGGAUCCGCGCUGCAUUAGCUAGUUGGUAAGGUAACGGCUUACCAAGGCAACGAUGCAUAGCCGACCUGCGAGGGGGAUCGGCCACCCUGGAACGUAGACACGGUCCAUACUACUACGGGAGGCAGCAGUAGGGAAUCGUACGCAAUGGGCGAAAGCCUGACGGAACAACGCCGCGUGAGUGAUGAAGGUCUUCGGAUCGUAAAAAUCUGUUAUUAGGGAAGAACAUAUGUGUAAGUAACUGUGCACAUCUUGACGGUACCUAAUCAGAAAGCCACGGCUAACUACGUG